AGUGAACGCUGGCGGUAGGCCUAACACAUGCAAGUCGAACGGCAGCACAGUAAGAGCUUGCUCUUACGGGUGGCGAGUGGCGGACGGGUGAGGAAUACAUCGGAAUCUACUUUUUCGUGGGGGAUAACGUAGGGAAACUUACGCUAAUACCGCAUACGACCUACGGGUGAAAGCAGGGGAUCUUCGGACCUUGCGCGAUUCAAUGAGCCGAUGUCGGAUUAGCUAGUUGGCGGGGUAAAGGCCCACCAAGGCGACGAUCCGUAGCUGGUCUGAGAGGAUGAUCAGCCACACUGGAACUGAGACACGGUCCAGACUCCUACGGGAGGCAGCAGUGGGGAAUAUUGGGCAAUGGGCGCAAGCCUGAUCCAGCCAUACCGCGUGAGUGAAGAAGGCCUUCGGGUUGUAAAGCCCUUUUAUUAGGAAAGAAAAGCAGCAGGUUAAUACCCCGCUGUUCUGACGGUACCCAAUGAGUAAGCACCGGCUAACUUCGUG
Molecule: ribosomal RNA, 492 nt
Filed under: uncultured bacterium
Lineage: Bacteria
Description: partial 16S ribosomal RNA
Rfam family: Bacterial small subunit ribosomal RNA
Source: RNAcentral